UCAAGAAUCUUCCCCAAUGGCCGAAAGGCUGAGGGAGCGACGCCGCGUGUAUGAAGAAGCUCUUCGGAGUGUAAAAUACUUUUGAUUGGGACGAACUAUGACUUUACCAAUCGAAUAAGGGGCUGCUAACUUCGUGCCAGCAGCAGCGGUAAUACGAAGGCCCCAAGCAUUAUCCGGAUUUAUUGGGCGUAAAGGGUCCGCAGGCGGCCCGAUGCAUCUCCUGUUAAAUCCUCAGGCUUAACCUGGGGGCCGCGGGAGAGAUGGUCGGGCUAGAGACCGGAAGAGGCAAACGGAAUUGUUGGUGUAGGGGUUAAAUCCGUUAAUAUCAACAAGAACACCAAAUGCGAAGGCAGUUUGCUGGGACGGUUCUGACGCUCAGGGACGAAAGCGUGGGUAGCGA
This 400-nucleotide ribosomal RNA is filed under the name uncultured bacterium. RNAcentral's name for it is "bacterial SSU rRNA". It matches the Rfam family "Bacterial small subunit ribosomal RNA", at positions 355 to 771 of the family's 1533-position model. The record is from RNAcentral.